RNAcentral lists this transfer RNA (85 nucleotides) under Bacteroidales bacterium. RNAcentral describes it as "tRNA-Leu". It matches the Rfam family "tRNA". From Rfam's summary of the family: Transfer RNA (tRNA) molecules are approximately 80 nucleotides in length. Their secondary structure includes four short double-helical elements and three loops (D, anti-codon, and T loops). Further hydrogen bonds mediate the characteristic L-shaped molecular structure. tRNAs have two regions of fundamental functional importance: the anti-codon, which is responsible for specific mRNA codon recognition, and the 3' end, to which the tRNAs corresponding amino acid is attached (by aminoacyl-tRNA synthetases). tRNAs cope with the degeneracy of the genetic code in two manners: having more than one tRNA (with a specific anti-codon) for a particular amino acid; and 'wobble' base-pairing, i.e. permitting non-standard base-pairing at the 3rd anti-codon position. The record is from RNAcentral. Lineage: Bacteria; Pseudomonadati; Bacteroidota; Bacteroidia; Bacteroidales.
GCCUUGGUGGUGGAAUUGGUAGACACGAGGGACUUAAAAUCCCUUGAAAAUUGCGUUCGUGCGGGUUCAAGUCCCGCCCGAGGUA